GACGAACGCUGGCGGCGUGCUUAACGCAUGCAAGUCGAACGGAAAGGCUCCAGCUUGCUGGAGUACUCGAGUGGCGAACGGGUGAGUAACACGUGGGUAAUCUGCCCUGCACUCUGGGAUAAGCCUGGGAAACUGGGUCUAAUACUGGAUAUGACCUUUCUCCUUAUGGGGUUUGGUGGAAAGUUUUUCGGUGUAGGAUGAGCCCGCGGCCUAUCAGCUUGUUGGUGGGGUGAUGGCCUACCAAGGCGACGACGGGUAGCCGGCCUGAGAGGGUGAUCGGCCACAUUGGGACUGAGAUACGGCCCAGACUCCUACGGGAGGCAGCAGUGGGGAAUAUUGCACAAUGGGCGGAAGCCUGAUGCAGCGACGCCGCGUGAGGGAUGACGGCCUUCGGGUUGUAAACCUCUUUCAGCAGGGACGAAGCGUAAGUGACGGUACCUGCAGAAGAAGCACCGGCUAACUAUGUG
RNAcentral lists this ribosomal RNA (467 nucleotides) under uncultured bacterium. RNAcentral's name for it is "partial 16S ribosomal RNA". It matches the Rfam family "Bacterial small subunit ribosomal RNA", at positions 28 to 507 of the family's 1533-position model. The record is from RNAcentral.